RNAcentral lists this ribosomal RNA (497 nucleotides) under uncultured bacterium. RNAcentral's name for it is "partial 16S ribosomal RNA". It matches the Rfam family "Bacterial small subunit ribosomal RNA", at positions 28 to 507 of the family's 1533-position model. The record is from RNAcentral.
GACGAACGCUGGCGGCGUGCCUAAUACAUGCAAGUUGAGCGCUGAAGGUUGGUACUUGUACCAACUGGAUGAGCAGCGAACGGGUGAGUAACGCGUGGGGAAUCUGCCUUUGAGCGGGGGACAACAUUUGGAAACGAAUGCUAAUACCGCAUAAAAACUUUAAACACAAGUUUUAAGUUUGAAAGAUGCAAUUGCAUCACUCAAAGAUGAUCCCGCGUUGUAUUAGCUAGUUGGUGAGGUAAAGGCUCACCAAGGCGAUGAUACAUAGCCGACCUGAGAGGGUGAUCGGCAACAUUGGGACUGAGACACGGCCCAAACUCCUACGGGAGGCAGCAGUAGGGAAUCUUCGGCAAUGGACGAAAGUCUGAACGAGCAACGCCGCGGGAGUGAAGAAGGUUUUCGGAUCGUAAAACUCUGUUGGUAGAGAAGAACGUUGGUGAGAGUGGAAAGCUCAUCAAGUGACGGUAACUACCCAGAAAGGGACGGCUAACUACGUG